This 308-nucleotide ribosomal RNA is filed under the name uncultured bacterium. Its description in RNAcentral is "partial 16S ribosomal RNA". It matches the Rfam family "Bacterial small subunit ribosomal RNA", at positions 505 to 807 of the family's 1533-position model. The record is from RNAcentral.
GAGACAGCAGCCGCCGCGGUAAUACGUAGGGUGCAAGCGUUAAUCGGAAUUACUGGGCGUAAAGCGUGCGCAGGCGGUUUGUUAAGACAGAUGUGAAAUCCCCGGGCUCAACCUGGGAACUGCAUUUGUGACUGGCAAGCUAGAGUCUGGCAGAGGGGGGUGGAAUUCCGCGUGUAGCAGUGAAAUGCGCGGAUAUGCGGAGGAACACCGAUGGCGAAGGCAGCCCCCUGGGCCGACACUGACGCUCAUGCACGAAAGCGUGGGGAGCAAACAGGAUUAGAUACCCCCGUAGUCCCUGUCUCUUAUAC